RNAcentral lists this ribosomal RNA (1538 nucleotides) under metagenome. RNAcentral describes it as "bacterial LSU rRNA". It matches the Rfam family "Bacterial large subunit ribosomal RNA", at positions 446 to 1985 of the family's 2925-position model. The record is from RNAcentral.
GCGGGGCCCAUCCCGUAAGGCUAAAUACUCCCGAGAGACCGAUAGUGAACCAGUACCGUGAGGGAAAGGUGAAAAGAACCUCGAACAGAGGAGUGCAAUAGACCCUGAACCCGUCUGCCUACAAGCGGUAGGAGCGCCAUUAAGGUGUGACUGCGUGCCUUUUGCAUAAUGAACCUACGAGUUACUGUUUGUGGCAAGGUUAAUUGUUAUAAUCAAGACAAGGAGCCGAAGCGAAAGCGAGUCUUAAAAGGGCGCCCAUUUAGUCACGAGCAGUAGACGCGAAACCAAGUGAUCUACCCUUGGUCAGGUUGAAGGUUAGGUAACACUAACUGGAGGACCGAAUCGGUAAGCGUUGAAAAGCUUUCGAAUGAACUGAGGGUAGGGGUGAAAGGCUAAUCAAACUUGGAGAUAGCUCGUACUCCCCGAAAUGCAUUUAGGUGCAGCCUGUUGGAUGUUAUCAUGAGGUAGAGCGACUGAUUGGAUGCGAGGGUUUCACCGCCUAUCAAGUCCAGAUAAACUCCGAAUGCAUGAUAAUUGACCGAUGGAGUGAGGGCAUGGGUGCUAAGGUCCAUGUCCGAGAGGAGAAGAAUCCGGACCACCGGCUAAGGUCCCGAAAUAAUUGCUAAGUUGUAAAAACGAAGUCAAGAUGCAGAGACAGCUAGGAUGUUGGCUUGGAAGCAGCCAUUCAUUUAAAGAGUGCGUAACAGCUCACUAGUCGAGGAUUUUGGCAUGGAUAAUACACGGGCAUAAGCAAUUUACCGAAGCCGUGGGAUAUAAUAUAUCGGUAGGGGAGCAUUCCAGCGACGUAGAAGGGAAAAGGGCGACUUUUUCUGGAGUUUCUGGAAAAGCAAAUGUAGGUAUAAGUAACGAUAAAGGGGGCGAGAACCCCCCUCGCCGAAAGACCAAGGAUUCCUGAUCAACGCUAAUCGGAUCAGGGUUAGUCGGGGCCUAAGGAUAAGCCGAAUGGCGAUUCCGAUGGACGAACCGGUUAAUAUUCCGGUACUGAUACAGAGAGCGAUGUGGUGACGGAGAAGUGACAGUCCGGCCGUCUGACGGAAUAGGCGGUUAAAGGGUGUAGAUGUUGAUCGGGGUAGGCAAAUCCGCCCUGAGAGUCGAACCUGAUAGUACCCGGAGUACAAGUACGAAGGGAUAAGGACGUAAACCGGCUCCCAAGAAAACCCGCUAAGCAUAUUUCUGUGUUACCCGUACCGUAAACCGACACAGGUGGUUGGGUUGAGUAUACUAAGGCGCUCGAGAGAUUCGCGGUUAAGGAACUAGGCAAAAUGGUCCUGUAACUUCGGGAGAAAGGACGCCUGUCUCCGGACAGGCCGCAGAAACCAGGCCCAGGCGACUGUUUAACAAAAACACAAGGCUAUGCAAAAAAGCAAUUUGAGGUAUAUAGUCUGACACCUGCCCGGUGCUGGAAGGUUAAGAGGAGGAGUCAUCGUCAAGAGAAGCUCUGAAUUGAAGCCCCAGUAAACGGCGGCCGUAACUAUAACGGUCCUAAGGUAGCGAAAUUCCUUGUCGGGUAAGUUCCG